This 786-nucleotide ribosomal RNA is filed under the name Triticum aestivum (bread wheat). RNAcentral's name for it is "partial small subunit ribosomal RNA". The record is from RNAcentral. Lineage: Eukaryota; Viridiplantae; Streptophyta; Magnoliopsida; Poales; Poaceae.
AUGGACGUGCACUCAGCUCCGUCUUGCCCUGCCGAGGCGAGGGCACCUGUUGAGCAUCUAAUAGGGCAGUUUGCAUCUGGAAUGACCGGCUUGCUUGGGAAGUUGAUUGAGGGUUCCCAAGAGCCUGCUGACACACAAGAUGAACUAGGUGGAGGUGCUGGUCUUAGCAAGGAUGACGACGAUGUCAUGGAGAAUGUGCAAGAGGACACCGAUGAUGAUGAACAUGCUGAAGUUCGCGCAGGUGGUAACAAGGGCAAGGAUGCAACAGAUGUCCCCAAACCGGAGAAAGUCAAACAACAUACGGCUGUGAGAGGCGAGGGGGUUUUGCCAUCAAAGAGGGGGAGGGCUCCAGAGGGUGUUGGGCAGGGUUCUGCUGGCAAGAGGUCUAGGACCGACCCCGUAGCUGCCAGGAAGAGCGAGCCGACAGCUGGUGGACGAGCAGUUACGAAGAAACAGGCGCCAACGCCAACCCGUGUUUCUGCUCAGUUGAACAAAGGCGCCCCCAUUGCCGGUGACACCCCUUCCACCAGGUCAUCUCCUCGCACGACGACGACCAACACCGGGGAUCCUGUCGUGUUGCCAGACCUGAGGAAGGCAGCCAAGAAGGUGAAGAAGACUACUACACGCGGGGCCAAGCAUAUCAGUAAGGACCCGCUCGAACGCCUGCAUUCAAAGUUGUCAACAUGGGGCAACUCAGAUGUACAUGAGGCACCAGGCGACAAUACUGCUGCUGCACCAUUGACCGCUCCCACCAACUCUGAUAGGCAUUCGUACAUCGGGGAGUGA